UGGGGAAUAUUGGACAAUGGGCGCAAGCCUGAUCCAGCAAUGCCGCGUGGGUGAAGAAGGUCUUCGGAUUGUAAAGCCCUUUCGGCGGGGACGAUGAUGACGGUACCCGCAGAAGAAGCCCCGGCUAACUUCGUGCCAGCAGCCGCGGUAAUACGAAGGGGGCUAGCGUUGCUCGGAAUGACUGGGCGUAAAGGGCGCGUAGGCGGGUCACACAGUCAGAUGUGAAAUUCCUGGGCUCAACCUGGGGGCUGCAUUUGAUACGUGUGGUCUUGAGUGCGGAAGAGGGUGGUGGAAUUCCCAGUGUAGAGGUGAAAUUCGUAGAUAUUGGGAAGAACACCGGUGGCGAAGGCGGCCACCUGGUCCGCGACUGACGCUGAGGCGCGAAAGCGUGGGGAGCAAACAGGAUUAGAUACCCUGGUAGUCCACGCCGUAAACGAUGUGCGCUGGAUGUUGGGCGGCCUAGCCGUUCAGUGUCGCAGCUAAUGCGAUAAGCGCACCGCCUGGGGGA
This 508-nucleotide ribosomal RNA is filed under the name uncultured bacterium. RNAcentral describes it as "bacterial SSU rRNA". It matches the Rfam family "Bacterial small subunit ribosomal RNA", at positions 355 to 880 of the family's 1533-position model. The record is from RNAcentral.